UUAUUUUGUACAUUUGGGGACGGGGGAUGCACGAGAAAUAUCAAAUAUCUCGCACGACACCCUUUUUAAGUUAGGGUUAUUUCAUCUUUUCCCAGCUUCGUCUUAUUUCUCCUUUCAGUUGCUCUUGCUCAAAACCCUAAACCCUAAAAAAACCCAACAAUGGCAGACAUUCCGAUCUCAAUCGAUAAUUUAAAGCGAAUUUGGCACUCCCAGGUUCACGACCCUGAGAAGUGGGCUUUUAACAUGAAAUUUUUGCGCGCUGCAGGACUAUUUGCUGGCUCAAUUGUUCUGAUACGGAACUUUGGAGAGAAUUUUGUUUUGUGAAUCUGGAUGAUGGGGUUUGAAAGUCAGAAUUUCAAUUUAAUUCUAUUUCUUUUAGCCCUUGCAGUAUCUUAGUAAACUUCUUUGCCCAAAUUCCAUGUAUUCUAAGAUUUCACUUUUGAUGAGUCUGUUACCAAGCUGUUUGAAGAGUUCUAUUAUAAUCAAUUGAGUCAAAAUACUACUCGCAGAGACUAUUUGAAGAGAAUGGUUUUGCUUUUACUCUUUCUUGGCUCCUAUUUACCUGAAUGAAAUAAAUUCUUGCGGAUCCUGUUGUCUAAUUAAGUACUAUGUUUUAGGGAGUUUGGUGAAACUUAUUGUGUGAAAGUCUGCACAAAUUAAGAAGUUUUUGCUAUUUGCAGAGUAAUACUAGUAUUCAACUAUUCAUGUAACCUGCAACCGUUCUUAAGAUUUUGAGAUUUGGAAAUUAGGUUUUAGCUGAAGUUAGGUGUUUGCGAAAUCAAGGUACUUAUAUUUGAAAUUAGGCCAAUUGUCCCAAUUCCAUACUUUAACGCGUAAAGUAAAAAUCUUAAAUGCAAUUAAAAAUGGUGUCAUUUAGAGUACUCCCAGUGGUUGCCCUCCUUGUGGGUUAUGAGGGGAGAGAGUGUAAAAGUAUUAUUAGUUUAUUAGGAGAGAAAAAAGUUGGGCAAAAAAUUGAUGCACAGCUCUUCAUGAUGAAUCAAGAAAAAGAGGAGCAAAGAAGGAAUUGGAGGAAAGAUAAAAUAUGGUGAGAUGGAAGAGUGAGAAAGUAAUAGAAUAAUCAAUGACCCCAAACUAUAGGGCAACCAUUGGUUGUGCUCUUAGUACCCAAUUUUUCUCUGGCUAGUGACUUAUCCUUCACCCUGUUUCUCUCUUUUCUCAUGUGCUUUUGCUUUCUGUCUUCCCUUUCUAUAGGCUAUAAGCGCUCCUCUCUCUUUCCUCCCUGUUGCCUUCUGCACUCUUUUCCUCGACCACCACCCCACAUAUUCGGCCUAUUUAUCUCUCAUGAUAUCGUUCUUCUUCUUCACUAUCCUAGCACUUCACAUUGUUUAACUGGAACUAUAGUUUCUUAUCAAUGAUUAUCUCAAAGUACAUAUGAAUAUUAUUACUGACUGGCGUCAGUGGCGGAAGGAAGAGGACGUGACAAGGUGGAUGGAAGGGGAGAGGAUGUGACAGGGUGGAUAGGGAGGGGAUGGCGGCUUUAAGGAUGGAAAGGGGUUGGGGGGAGGUGGAGGCAACAUGAGUGGUUGGAGUGGAACUGUGGAAGUGGUGGCGAGAAGAAGCGGAAUAGGCCAACUCAUUGUUCUGAUUUUAAAAAAUUACAAUUUAGUAAGUGAAACAGAUAUUUCAAUCACCGGAUAAGAAAAGGUGGCGAUGCUGAUAGAGUAGGUGGCAGUGUAGCUGUGUAGGUGGAGGAGAAAGAAGCACAAAGUUUCAUGUGAUGAUUUUCAAGUGUGGAGAUGUAUUUUCACCCAUUUUCCAAACAACACAAGCAAAUUUGAAUCAUGGUAAAUAGAUGAUUUGGAAUUGAAUGUUACGAUUUCAAUUUCCAAAAUAGAAAUCAAGGAAAUAGAUUAUUAUCUGUUAAGUGGUUUCUUAGGACUUGCUCUUUUGAUUUUACCACACGAUUGCAUAACAAUAAAUGGUUAGAAUUUGUUCCAUAUGAAACUGUGCACUACUUCUCUGAUCGACUAAAUACUGAUUAACCUUGUUUUUCUUAUUGGAAAGUUCGCUAUAAAUAUUAUGAAAUAAAUGAAAUAAUAUAAUCUGCUAUGAAUAAUAUGAAAUUUACAAUUAGUUGUAGUAUGUAUUAGCAUUAAAGCAUACGAUCAUUGAUUCCAAGAAAACACAAUUAACAUAUCGACUGAUGCGUGCUUAUUAGUUAUAACAUGUAACCAUAUCAUUUAAUUAAAGGAGGGUAUCCUAGCAAUAGCAUAUCCUUGCUUAAUUAAAGUUGUGAAGUGGAGAUGGAAGGAAGACAAAUAAUCCGGACGGAGGGGCAGUGAAGCAUAGAAAAGGUACACUACUUCAUA
Molecule: RNA transcript, 2330 nt
Organism: Beta vulgaris subsp. vulgaris (sugar beet)
Lineage: Eukaryota; Viridiplantae; Streptophyta; Magnoliopsida; Caryophyllales; Amaranthaceae
Gene name: mitochondrial import receptor subunit TOM5 homolog
Exons: 3
Source: RefSeq, a predicted model, not a curated record